AAUAGAGACAAUAGUGACAUCAAGUCAAAGUAAAACACGCAAGAGAUAAAAGAGGGAAUGAGGCGGGAAAAAAAAAAGAGGACACACAACUUCAGACGGAGCGGGAAACAACAAUACAGAUAAGUGAUGGAGAGGCAGAGAUUUCUGGUUCAAGUCCUGUGCUGCCGGGGCAUCGCCGAUGCUGCCGCAUUGUCAGAGGCCUGCAUGCAAGCACUCUCCUCAAGAGGUUCUGAGUAUUCCGAUUGACCACAAACCAACAAUCAUUUUCUGCGAAUGGCCUGACCUGAGGCAGAAAAUGCAGAAGAACGUUCAAGUUCAAACAGCCUGAAGGCCGACCAUGGAAACUGACAGGAGCCUCAAAAUGUCAUGAUGGGCCAGAGUGCGUGACGUGGAGGGGCAAGGCCCACGGUGAAAUUAACGAGGGAGAAAUUCGUCAGAGGCCACAUUCUUUGACCCAAGUGUGACCUCACAAUUCCUGAGGCCUCCCACCAGAUGAACAACACUGAGUAAGAUCUAAGAUUACACAUGGUUAAGGAAACGAUCCCAACACAUAUUAGACUGUGGUGAAACACAACGCGAAUAGAUAUUUAGG
Long non-coding RNA from Gasterosteus aculeatus aculeatus (three-spined stickleback), 592 nucleotides. The record is from Ensembl. NCBI's taxonomy places the organism in Eukaryota, Metazoa, Chordata, Actinopteri, Perciformes, Gasterosteidae.